UAACUUAGUGGCGGACGGGUGAGUAACGCGUGAGAAUCUGCCUUCAGGACGGGGACAACAGUUGGAAACGACUGCUAAGCCCCGAUGAACCGAAAGGGAAAAUAUUUAUAGCCUGAAGAUGAGCUCGCGUCCGAUUAGCUAGUUGGCGGAGUAAAAGCCCACCAAGGCGACGAUCGGUAGCUGGUCUGAGAGGACGAUCAGCCACACUGGGACUGAGACACGGCCCAG
This 228-nucleotide ribosomal RNA is filed under the name uncultured bacterium. RNAcentral describes it as "partial 16S ribosomal RNA". It matches the Rfam family "Bacterial small subunit ribosomal RNA", at positions 88 to 334 of the family's 1533-position model. The record is from RNAcentral.